UUAUGAACACAAUCGCACCACUGUGCGCUGCCGCCUCUGCUGCACUUAGCCAUUUUUCCCCAUUUGGUUCAAUUGCGCCAAUAUAAACAGUGACCUUGAAAAUAAGGAAAUUAAAGAAAGAGGAAUCAAAGAAGUACGCCAGCCGAAACCAAACACAUCCAUUGGUACAUAUUGUACAUAUAUAUUACCACGCACACAAAUGCAGCUACAUGCCGACAGUCAGGUCGCCCAUGCAGAGAUCAUUCAGACAUUUUGGGAGCAGCGCAUGUGCGCACACACAGGUAGACAUCGGCGCUUAACUUGCCCAUUUCUAUUUCUCUUUUUCAUUGUUUAUUGUUUUCUCGUACAUACUUCAUACAUAUUUACUUGUUUACAAGCAUUGGCGAAUUGGAUUUGAGACUUUGCAUCGUUGGCAAAAUUCAGCGAAUAAAAUUAGUCCCUUUGCGUUAAGCUGCUCUGUUUCAGAAGGGAUGGAUAGUUAAAGAUUUAAUGAGUAAGAGCACGCAGGCUCCAAAUUUUCGAAACAAACGAGAUUUGUGUACUUCUUACCUACCCGGCGUUCCAUCUGCUUGCUAUUCUUUAUGGUUGGCCUGUAUGUUGUCAGACAUGUAGGCAAAUAUUUAGCUAAACCCACGGCAAAACAUAAACAAGAUGGGCAAAUAAGUAGCACGUAGACAUUUCGGAAAUCGAUUUUUUUCUAAUUUCGCUAAGCGACGAUGGACCAGAAUGCAGAAAAUCAGUUUUAGAACUGAGUGAGAGUGUGUAGGUGUGUGGUGUUUGUGGACGCUUGACUGUUUGUUACUUUUGUCAGGCAUUUGAAUUUGAAAAACGCCAGAAUUAAAACUGUGGAAGAACCGCUCUCGAAAUUACAAUUGUGUACAAUAUUUGAGAGAGAGCUUGCAACCUCUGAAUCAUACACCGGAUAUUGUUUCGAAUGAAGAAUGCUUUUAAGAAGCAUCCUAACAACAAUUGUUCAAUAAAUGGUGUAACGUGGCUUUUACCACCUUACAAUAAUUUACGUCAACUUCGCUCCACAGUACAUCAUGUACCCUCACCAUACCACCAUACGUACUUAACUUCACCGCAUUGACUACGCACACAACUUACCUCACUACGAUGAUGAAAGCUGCUAGACCAUACGUACUAACGCACCAUACGCAUACAACUUACCUCGCUACGGUGACGAAAGCUGCGCUAUGCUGCUAUAAAAGCAAGCACUUUACACCAAAUUCGAUCAUUUGCUCCAGCUCGCCGAACAGGACGGUCGCCCAGCAUUGCGCAGAAAAUAGCAGUAAGCAGGGGUUGAUACCGGUACGCGCAAAGGCUCGACCGUUACUACGAGGAGCACAGCUGCGCUGCCUCGAACAGCGUCAGUACCGCUGCUUACGUACCGUAAGGCACCGUUAGUGAAAACUAACGCGACUAACAGGCGACAUGUAAGUGCAGUACUGUGGGAGUUGAUAGCUGGAGGCCAACGAAGACGGUUGGCUAUUAACGAAAUCUCUCCUACACAAAGGAGUCCGUCACAUCACCGUGCCAGUCGCAACAAGCGUCAACGCCUGGCUCAUCAAUUCCGUUCGUUUUCAUCACCGUGCCAGUCGCAACAAGCGUCAACGCCUGGCUCAUCAACUCCGUUCGUUUUCAUCACCGUGCCAGUCGCAACAAGCGUCAACGCCUGGCUCAUCAAUUCCGUUCAUUUUCAGCACCGUGCCAGCUUCAACAAGCGUCAACGCCUGGCUCAUCAAUUCCGUUCGUUUUCAUCACCGUGCCAGCUUCAACAAGCGUCAACGCCUGGUUCGCCAAUCUCGUUCGUUUUCAUCAUCACUGUACACAUCACGCUGGUCUGGCUGUCCACAUAAGGGGUGGGGUGUGGAUACAACUUUAUGAGGAUAAAGCUAGUCUUUUUUGCUAAGGGUUCGUGGGUCCCAAGGCUGACCCUGGAGCGGCUGAGCAUACCUCAGCUAUGGACGAAAACCCAUUACAAUGGGAAAAUCAAUUCAAAAUGCAUACAAUAUUUUAGUGUCGUUAUCGAUAAUACCAACCAUAUUUUAGUGGAAUCUACGUCAAAGAAUUUAUAUUAUUACAUUGUCUAAUAUCAAUAUUCAACGGUUGUCUUGAAAUAAAUAUUUUUUAAUCCAUUAAA
Long non-coding RNA from Bactrocera neohumeralis, 2143 nucleotides. RefSeq lists it as uncharacterized. The transcript has 3 exons. NCBI's taxonomy places the organism in Eukaryota, Metazoa, Arthropoda, Insecta, Diptera, Tephritidae. The record is from RefSeq and is a predicted model, not a curated record.